This 495-nucleotide ribosomal RNA is filed under the name Clostridioides difficile. RNAcentral's name for it is "bacterial LSU rRNA". It matches the Rfam family "Bacterial large subunit ribosomal RNA", at positions 1189 to 1689 of the family's 2925-position model. Lineage: Bacteria; Bacillati; Bacillota; Clostridia; Peptostreptococcales; Peptostreptococcaceae. The record is from RNAcentral.
UACUACCGAAGCUACGGCAUCAGUAAUGAUGGGUAGGGGAGCUUCCCAUACGGGUUGAAGCAUGACCGUAAGGACAUGUGGACAGUAUGGGAGUGAGAAUGUUGGCAUGAGUAGCGAGAUGUGGGUGAGAAUCCCACAGGCCGUAAACCCAAGGUUUCCAGGGGAAGGUUCGUCCGCCCUGGGUUAGUCGGGACCUAAGCUGAGGCCGAAAGGCGUAGGUGAUGGACAACAGGUUGAUAUUCCUGUACUACCGAUAACCGUUUGAGAGAUGGGAUGACACAGUAGGAUAAGCUAAGCACACGGUUGGUUAUGUGUGCCCAAGCAUGGAGGCAGUCAAAGUAGGCAAAUCCGCUUUGAUAAUGCUGGGAUGUGAUGGGGAGCGAAAUUUAGUAGCGAAGUAGCUGAUUUCACACUGUCAAGAAAAGUCUCUAUCGAGGUUAAAGGUACCCGUACCGCAAACCGACACAGGUGGGUGAGGAGAGUAUCCUAAGGCCA